RNAcentral lists this ribosomal RNA (1354 nucleotides) under uncultured bacterium. Its description in RNAcentral is "bacterial SSU rRNA". It matches the Rfam family "Bacterial small subunit ribosomal RNA", at positions 52 to 1401 of the family's 1533-position model. The record is from RNAcentral.
CACAUGCAAGUCGAGGGGCAGCAUGGGGGAGUUUCGGCUUCCCUGAUGGCGACCGGCGGAUGGGUGAGUAACGCGUAUCCAACCUGCCCCGGACUCGGGAACAGCCCCUGGAAACGGGGAUUAACGCCCGAUGGCGCGCGGUGUCCGCAUGGUCACCUCGCUAAAUGCAACGGUCCGGGAUGGGGAUGCGUCCGAUUAGGCAGCAGGCGGGGUAACGGCCCACCAAGUCGACGAUGGCUAGGGGAUCUGAGAGGACGGUCCCCCACACUGGUACUGAGACACGGACCAGACUCCUACGGGAGGCAGCAGUAAGGGAUAUUGGUCAAUGGGGGGAACCCUGAACCAGCCAUGCCGCGUGAGGGAAUAAGGCCCUACGGGUCGUAAACCUCUUUUGCCGGGGGAUAAGGACAUCCACGUGUGGGUGUUUGAAGGUACCCGGAGAAUAAGCAUCGGCUAACUCCGUGCCAGCAGCCGCGGUAAUACGGAGGAUGCGAGCGUUAUCCGGAUUUAUUGGGUUUAAAGGGAGCGCAGGCGGGCUUUUAAGCGUGACGUGAAAUGUGGAUGCUCAACAUCCGAGCUGCGUCGCGAACUGGAGGCCUUGAGUGAGUACGACGUGGACGGAAUUCGUGGUGUAGCGGUGAAAUGCUUAGAUAUCACGAAGAACCCCGAUUGCGAAGGCAGUCCACGAGUCCUUUACUGACGCUAAAGCUCGAAAGUGCGGGUAUCGAACAGGAUUAGAUACCCUGGUAGUCCGCACGGUAAACGAUGGAUGCCCGCUGUUUGCGACAUACUGUAAGCGGCCAAGAGAAAUCGUUAAGCAUCCCACCUGGGGAGUACGCCGGCAACGGUGAAACUCAAAGGAAUUGACGGGGGCCCGCACAAGCGGAGGAACAUGUGGUUUAAUUCGAUGAUACGCGAGGAACCUUACCCGGGCUUGAACUGCAGCGGAAGGAUACAGAGAUGUUGACGCCCUUCGGGGCCGCUGUGGAGGUGCUGCAUGGUUGUCGUCAGCUCGUGCCGUGAGGUGUCGGCUUAAGUGCCAUAACGAGCGCAACCCCUCUCCGUAGUUGCCAUCGGGUUAAGCCGGGCACUCUGCGGACACUGCCACCGCAAGGUGAGAGGAGGGGGGGGAUGACGUCAAAUCAGCACGGCCCUUACGUCCGGGGCGACACACGUGUUACAAUGGUGGGUACAGAGAGUCGGCCGCUGGCAAUGGCGGUCCAAUCAUCAAAGCCAUCCUCAGUUCGGAUUGGGGUCUGCAACCCGACCCCAUGAAGCUGGAUUCGCUAGUAAUCGCGCAUCAGCCAUGGCGCGGUGAAUACGUUCCCGGGCCUUGCACACACCGCCCGUCAAG